This 769-nucleotide ribosomal RNA is filed under the name Nephromopsis inermis. RNAcentral's name for it is "SSU rRNA". It matches the Rfam family "Bacterial small subunit ribosomal RNA", at positions 248 to 1003 of the family's 1533-position model. The record is from RNAcentral. Lineage: Eukaryota; Fungi; Ascomycota; Lecanoromycetes; Lecanorales; Parmeliaceae.
GUAGUUAAGAUUUAAAGCCUAACUAGCUAUAUGCACGUAGUCGUAACUGAAAGGUUGAUCGACCACAGUGGGCCUGAAUAAAGCCCAUGACGAUUGUCACAGCAGUGAGGAAUAUUGGUCAAUAGCCUAACGGCUGAACCAGCAACUUGGAGGAAUGUAUAGCAAUAGCUACUUGCAUCAUUGUAAUAUGAUGCAAGAUCGACUAUGUCGAAUAAAAUUCUAGGUAGAAUUAUGAUAAUGACAUUGUCUGCCUAUGUGUCUUGACCAAAUUACGUGCCAGCAGUCGCGGUAAUACGUAGAAGACUAGUGUUAUUCAUGUUUAAUCGGUUUAAAGGGUACCUAGACGGUAAAUCAAGCCUAAAAGGAAAUAAAUGAAGGGACUAAUUUACUAGAGUUACUUAUGAGGGGGUAUUAAAGUACUGCUGGUGUAGAGAUGAAAUCUGUCAUACCUCUUUUCAAUAGAAAAAUAAUGGCACAGGUAUAGGCGAAAGCAUCCCCUUAUGUGAUAACUGACGUUGAGGGACGAAGGCUUUGUGUAGCGAACAGGAUUAGAUACCCCAGUAGUCAAAGCAGAAAAUGAUGAAUGUCAUAGAUUAGAUAUAUAAGUUUAUUCUAUAAAUGAAAGUGUAAGCAUUCCACCUCAAGAGUAAUUUGGCAACAUUGGAACUGAAAUCAUUAGACCGUUUCUGAAACCGUAGUGAAGUAUGUUGUUUAAUUUGAUGAUCCGCAAAAAACCUUACCACAAUUUGAAUAUUUAUAUCUUAUAUUG